RNAcentral lists this unclassified non-coding RNA (208 nucleotides) under uncultured Trechisporales. RNAcentral's name for it is "sequence contains ITS2". Lineage: Eukaryota; Fungi; Basidiomycota; Agaricomycetes; Trechisporales. The record is from RNAcentral.
AGUCAUCAACCCCUCCCGUUUUGUGCGGAGAGCCAGGUUGGACCUGGGGGUUUGCUGCUGUUGGGCGGCUCCCCCCAAAUGAGUCGGUCGGGCCUGCGGGUCGAACUCGGUUGGGCGUUGUACCAUCCUCGCUCUGGUCCGAGAUGUUCCCCAUUUGUUGAGCCCUUCCAAGACCGCUGUGGAGUGGUGGUCAAGCUGAAACUUUGAA